Molecule: non-coding RNA, 74 nt
Organism: Paragonimus heterotremus
Lineage: Eukaryota; Metazoa; Platyhelminthes; Trematoda; Plagiorchiida; Troglotrematidae
Source: the annotation of a GenBank genome assembly
GCCCCAGUAGCGCAGUCGGUUAGCGCGUCAGUCUCAUAAUCUGAAGGCCGUGAGUUCGAGUCUCACCUGGGGCA